Molecule: ribosomal RNA, 1346 nt
Filed under: uncultured Clavulina
Lineage: Eukaryota; Fungi; Basidiomycota; Agaricomycetes; Cantharellales; Hydnaceae
Description: eukaryotic LSU rRNA
Rfam family: Eukaryotic large subunit ribosomal RNA (bases 612-1346)
Source: RNAcentral
CAUUAACGAAUUGUAAUGGGGGCUGAUGCUGGCCAUCAUCUUUUUGAUGGUAGGUGCUCGCCUCCAAUAACAAUCUCUCAUCCAAACACCUGUGCACCUUCUUUUGAGGGUUCCGAGCUGGCUACCAUUUUCCGGUGGUCUCUUGGAUUCCCUUCCUAUCUUUACAUACACAGCUUUACAAUGUUGAACGUGCCAGUGCCGAUUAGGCCGUAAUAUUAAUACAACUUUUAACAACGGAUCUCUUGGCUCUCGCAUCGAUGAAGAACGCAGCGAAAUGCGAUAAGUAAUGUGAAUUGCAGAAUUCAGUGAAUCAUCGAAUCUUUGAACGCACCUUGCGCUCCCUGGUAUUCCGGGGAGCACGCCUGUUCGAGUGUUGUGAACUUCUCAAGCUAGCAUGCUUUUUUGCUUUCUGGCUUGGUAUUGGGCUCUGCCGUGUCCCUUGACUUGGAACGGCUGGCCUUAAAAGCAUUAGCUGGCCUUCAUGCGAUAUUGGUUCUACUCAGCGUGAUAAUUAUGUGAUCGCUGAGGACAUCUUUUUGGGAUGGCCAAUUCGCGUUUGGGUUGCUUCCAAUCUGGAUUACAGAUUUCUGAAUCUGUUCCACUUUCAAUUUUGACCUCGAAUCAGGUGGGACUACCCGCUGAACUUAAGCAUAUCAAUAAGCGGAGGAAAAGAAACUAACAAGGAUUCCCCUAGUAACGGCGAGUGAAGCGGGAAAAGCUCAAAUUUAAAAUCUGGCAGUCUUAGAUUGUCCGAAUUGUAAUCUAGAGAAGCGUCUUCCGCGCUGGACUGUGUACAAGUUUCCUGGAUACGGAACAUCGUAGAGGGUGAGAAUCCCGUCCUUGACACAGACUCCCAGUGCUUUGUGAUGCGCUCUCGACGAGUCGAGUUGUUUGGGAUUGCAGCUCAAAAUGGGAGGUAAAUUCCUUCUAAAGCUAAAUAUUGGCGAGAGACCGAUAGCGAACAAGUACCGUGAGGGAAAGAUGAAAAGCACUUUGGAAAGAGAGUUAAACAGUACGUGAAAUUGUUAAAAGGGAAACGCUUGAAGUCAGUCACGUUUGCUUGGACUCAGCCCUACUUCGGUUAGGUGCACUUCCUUGUAGACGGGCCAGCGUCCAUGUCGUCCGUCGGAAAAGGGGUGAGGGAAUGUGGCUCCUUUGGGAGUGUUAUAGCUCUUGCUCGGAUGCGGGGUACGAUAUGGAGUGGUACAGCAUGCUUCGGUGGUGCUUGUGCUGGCAUAAUGGCUUUAAACGACCGUCUUGAAACACGGACAAGGAGUCUAACAUGUCUGAGUGUUUGGGUGGAAACCGACGCGCAUGAAAGUGAUAGCUGGGAACCCCUUUCGGGA